AUUGAACGCUGGCGGCAGGCUUAACACAUGCAAGUCGAGCGGGGUGAAGGUAGCUUGCUACCGGACCUAGCGGCGGACGGGUGAGUAAUGCUUAGGAAUCUGCCUAUUAGUGGGGGACAACAUCUCGAAAGGGAUGCUAAUACCGCAUACGUCCUACGGGAGAAAGCAGGGGAUCUUCGGACCUUGCGCUAAUAGAUGAGCCUAAGUCGGAUUAGCUAGUUGGUGGGGUAAAGGCCUACCAAGGCGACGAUCUGUAGCGGGUCUGAGAGGAUGACCCGCCACACUGGGACUGAGACACGGCCCAGACUCCUACGGGAGGCAGCAGUGGGGAAUAUUGGACAAUGGGGGGAACCCUGAUCCAGCCAUGCCGCGUGUGUGAAGAAGGCCUUAUGGUUGUAAAGCACUUUAAGCGAGGAGGAGGCUACUGAGACUAAUACUCUUGGAUAGUGGACGUUACUCGCAGAAUAAGCACCGGCUAACUCUGUGCCAGCCGCCGCAGUAA
RNAcentral lists this ribosomal RNA (502 nucleotides) under uncultured bacterium. RNAcentral's name for it is "partial 16S ribosomal RNA". It matches the Rfam family "Bacterial small subunit ribosomal RNA", at positions 30 to 523 of the family's 1533-position model. The record is from RNAcentral.